ACUUCUCUCACAAUUUCAUCAUGCUUCAGAAGCAUAAUGAAAUCAAAAUGAGUCAUUGUUUGACUCUUCUUGAUUUCAUAAUGCAUUGAUGUGGAACUUUAUCUGGGAUCCAUUACUUGAACUACUGCUGGUGUCUUCAGUGAAUCAUGGAAAACUCUUCAGGUGAGAAAGAUUAAAGUUUAUGUGCGUAUAUAUUGUAGAAACCCAGGCACAAGUCGGUGGAUGGAGACGUUAGUAGGAGACUUAGAACAUUAGCAAUAACAUAAGAUAAUUGAAGUCACCAGCUUGGCCGAGUGGUUAUAAGUCGCCAGACUUAAGUUUUCGUCUCUUAAUAGAGACGUGAGUGCGAUUCUCACACCUGGUAGCUUUCUUGUCCUUAUCAAAUGUGGUAUUCAUUUAAUAGAGUUACCUUAAAUCAUAAGAUAAAUAGAAGUUUAUGAUUGAAAUAUGGAACGAGAAAGGUGAGGUUAGACCGUAAUCUCCGUAUUCCAUUUGUACACACUGAGCAAGAGAUGACAUGGUCAUGAGCGAGAUGUUACCUUUUUUCAAGUGCAUCUGUGUUUAACAUCUGCAGGAAUUUAAAAAAAAAUUGUCCAUAAACAGCUUAAUUAUGUGUUACACGUUAUUAAACGUCCGCUCGGGAUCGUAUCGACCCCUCUCAACAUGCGCAGCAUUUACCUCUUCAUGAUAAUUGGUUCUGUGUGGCCUGUUUCUAAAUGGAUGGUGCGAAGAGGAAGUUGGCGAAAUCGAUCAGAUAAUCAACGCUUAUCGCGUUCCCAAUAAUAGAAUUUAUCCCCACCUGGCAUAUGCUUUUUUUCUUAAUUCAUUUUGCUGUAAUGAUCACGCCAUAUUUGAAAACAUUAGGUCAACUUUACCCAAAGAAACCGAUUACGACAAGAAACAUUUAUGUGCUCUGGUACUUUAGUUGGGCCAAGAAAAGUUUUAACAGCCGCUUCGUACUUUGAACGGUUGAUGCUCGUUUCUUUUAGGUUUGAUUCGAAUACAUUUCAGCCAACCUUUUUCACACCUGUCACACGGAUGAACAAAGAAAUUCUAGGCGGUCCGUACACAAUAUGGCGGAACGUUAUCCGUGUCGUUAAGCAUAUCCGCAGUACAAUCCAGCAAACGCCGGUAAUCACGACAAUAUUGCCGUUGUUACACUGGACUUAGAAGUGCGCGCCAGCUCUGUCACUCCCGUCCAGUUGGGGUACACAUUAUUCCCGAGAAUCGGAAUCUCCUCAUAAUUUGGCUCAAGCGGUUAAACAAAGCAUUGAGUUUGAGACAACAGUUUGCCAUCUUCGAAGACAAGCACCUUUGAUUUGUCAUUUAGGGUGCAUUUUAUCGUCAACUUUAUGGCAACAGGUUACGCCACGAUAAAAAAAAAAAUUUUUUUUUCAUCCAAUUUUUUUUUUUUUUUUGUAAUCGCGUCCAUCUAGCGCUCGAUUUUUAACUCGGUUUCCUAAGUCAGAGAAAAUAUUUUAACGGAGUGACCACGUUGCUCAGUCUCUCCAACUGCAUUCAACUGUUCAUAUUGCUUAGUCUAUCAUAUUGCAAGCCUAUUAAUUGCCUUUAAUUCAGGUAAUUCAUCCAUAUUGUCUGGGAAGGCAAUAGUUGGUAAGUCAUUAACCAUUACAAAAUGGAAAAAUUUUCUUUUUGUAUUAAGCAAUAUGGCAUUGCAGUCCAAGUGUCCAGAUUUGGUGAUUCUAUUCAACAGCAUUCCAUUGUCCACCUUGCUGAGCUUAUCAAGUACAAUCCUGCUUAUUGCCUUGGCAUCAGUUAUUUCAUACACAUUGUCUGAAGGCAGUAGUUGGUUAGUCAUUGGCCAUUACGUUGAACUUGAAAUGGUUCAUUUACUGGAAUUGUCGAGUGCCAUGUACACAUUUUUUUAAAACAGAACUUAGUCUUCACUUAAGUGAGCACGGAAUGGCACAAUGAAUUGGUCGGUCAAAAUUAUCAUGUAGUACACUAAUUAAAUCAUAACGUUUCAAGCUGACAUCCAAUUCUCACUUUGUAGGUAUUCAAAUCACCAUCUGCUACUGAUUUAAAUUUGAAUUCCAUCAGUGUUAGGGAAUUAGAUCAGGAUUUAUCGAUAUUUAUUGCUGACAAUCAUAUACACACAAAACGGUUGAAUACGUCAAGGUUGACAUGCCUCCCAUAUAGUACAUUUCUACCGUUGGAUGUCCGAAUCAUGGCAGAACAUUCGUUAGAUAUCUAUGUUCUCAAUGGGUAGUUCCAGGGAUGUCCGUCGGCUAGUCGCCUUGGAAGUGCAAUGGAUGUGCGAAAAUUAUAUUAUACGG
Molecule: long non-coding RNA, 2297 nt
Organism: Daphnia magna
Lineage: Eukaryota; Metazoa; Arthropoda; Branchiopoda; Diplostraca; Daphniidae
Exons: 6
Source: RefSeq, a predicted model, not a curated record